Molecule: ribosomal RNA, 301 nt
Filed under: uncultured bacterium
Lineage: Bacteria
Description: partial 16S ribosomal RNA
Rfam family: Bacterial small subunit ribosomal RNA
Source: RNAcentral
CAGUAGCCGCGGUAAUACGUAGGUGGCAAGCGUUGUCCGGAAUUAUUGGGCGUAAAGGACUCGCAGGCGGUUUCUUAAGUCUGAUGUGAAAGCCCCCGGCUCAACCGGGGAGGGUCAUUGGAAACUGGGAAACUUGAGUGCAGAAGAGGAGAGUGGAAUUCCACGUGUAGCGGUGAAAUGCGUAGAGAUGUGGAGGAACACCAGUGGCGAAGGCGACUCUCUGGUCUGUAACUGACGCUGAGGAGCGAAAGCGUGGGGAGCGAACAGGAUUAGAUACCCCAGUAGUCCCUGUCUCUUAUAC